RNAcentral lists this ribosomal RNA (464 nucleotides) under uncultured bacterium. Its description in RNAcentral is "partial 16S ribosomal RNA". It matches the Rfam family "Bacterial small subunit ribosomal RNA", at positions 28 to 507 of the family's 1533-position model. The record is from RNAcentral.
GACGAACGCUGGCGGCGUGCUUAACACAUGCAAGUCGUACGGUAAGGCCCUUUCGGUGGUACACGAAUGGCGGACGGGGGAGUAACACGUGAGUAACCUGCCCACAACUUUGGGAUAACGCUAGGAAAGUGGUGCUAGUACUGGAUAUGUGCUCUUUCUGCAUGGGGGGGGUUGGAUAGCUCCGGCGGUUGUGGAUGUACUCUCGGCCUAUCAGCUUGCUGGUGUGGUAGUGGCGUACCAAGGCGGCGUCGGGUAGCCGGCCUUCGAGGGUGACCGGCCACAUUGGGCCUGCGAUACGGCCCAGACUCCUACGGGAGGCAGCAGUGGGGAAUAUUGCACAAUGGGCGCAAGCCUGAUGCAGCAACGCCGCGUGCGGGAUGACGGCCUUCGGGUUGUAAACCGCUUUCAACAGGGACGAAGCUUUUGUGACGGUACCUGCAGAAGAAGCAACGGCUAACUACGUG